GCGCCCCGCCUCCUUUACUGACAGGUUGCCCUCCUCCCCAAACCCCAACGCGCUUCGCAGUAGACGGACAGAGGAGUCGAAGCGGUCGAAGGUUUUGCGGCUCCGGCGUGCCGGAAAGCAUGUUAUGCAUAAAAGUGGAUAAUUUACAUGGUAAAUGAAAAUGGCCAAUUCUUUAAGAGGAGAAGUACUAAAACUUUAUAAAAAUCUGCUGUAUCUUGGACGAGACUAUCCAAAAGGAGCAGACUAUUUUAAAAAGCGUUUGAAGAACAUUUUCCUUAAAAACAAAGAUGUGAAGAAUCCAGAGAAGAUCAAAGAACUUAUUGCACAGGGCGAAUUUGUAAUGAAAGAGCUAGAAGCCUUGUACUUCCUUAGGAAAUACAGAGCUAUGAAACAACGCUAUUAUUCAGAUACCAACAAAACUAAUUGAUCAUUACUACUUUAAUUUAGCUGACAAACAGCCAUUGAUCAUUACUACUUUAAUUUAGCUGACAAUCAGUGCCAGCUGUUUAUGUGUACCAGAUAAUGUGAAUUAAUUCUAACUUAAAAUGGGAAGAUAUACAUAUUGUGUAAAAAAUCCCUGAGCUGCCCUACUGAACUAAAUAGGUUUCAACUUCUGUUCAUGCUGAGAAAUUAUCAGCAACUUAAUGCUCAAUUUUGAUACAAACAUAGCAAUUUAGCUAUACUACCGAUUAUAAAUUAAUGAACACCCAAUUUUGAAUGAAAAUACAAUACACUUAAUCCUGUAACUUAAUAGGACUUAGCCAAUUAUUUUUAGCUUAUUUCUCCAUUUUACUGACAAGAGAAUGCCAUUUACUGAAUAUUUAAUCAGCAAAAUAAUUUCUUAUUUCUCUUAACUUUUGAAAGGAAUCCCUUUUUUUUUUCACCCAAUUUGAUACAUUAACAGCACAUACUCAAGGUUCACUCCAAAACAAAGUUUCUGACAAUGAUUUAAAUGUAGUUAUAGAAAUAAUAUGUGUGGAGUUAUUCUGACUUUGAAAUAGCCUGCUGGUGACUGGCAUUACAUACAUAACUAUUCAAUUAUUUCCAUUAUUAAUGUUGCUGCUGCUACCUUUGGGCCUAAAACCAAGUCAUCUGUUGUGUAUCAAUUACCUUCUUUGAUAAAAGGAAAUAAAUAAUGUUAUCUAUUA
Molecule: long non-coding RNA, 1148 nt
Organism: Cercocebus atys (sooty mangabey)
Lineage: Eukaryota; Metazoa; Chordata; Mammalia; Primates; Cercopithecidae
Exons: 3
Source: RefSeq, a predicted model, not a curated record